CGAUGUGAAGGUGCAUGGAUCGAGAUAACGGUGAAAGCGAAAGGAUCUACGCUGUUCAUCAAUAAUCAUCAAAGGCCAGAAAGACUGGAUCGAUCGGCUGACUGGCCAAAGCAACCUUGCUAGGCACUGAUCACGAUCACAAGAUUUCAGACUUCAGGGCUGAUGUACCCAAGCUUUACAUACUCGGUUUUCCAGAUCAUGCAUGUUGCAAGUGCCUAAGAAUGUUCUCAAGUCACUAGGUAAGGUCAUGGAGUCAUGAGAUUAUCAUAAUACUGGCUAUUCUAUAGCAAGUUUACUCUUACUAUGAAACGAUAGAAUCCCAUAGCAAACACGUGAAAUAGAAACAAAAAUUCACGGAUCAAAAGGUGCGUGAUGGUAGGCUGAGAAGAUGGUAUGUAAUUGAUUGUAGGGAGAUGCUGAUGCUUACCGUGCUGGCCAUAGGUAUUUGGCACGAACCCGCCGUACGCGUAUCCAUUGUUUGCUCCUCCCACGCCGCCGACGCCAUUGCUACUGCCGGUGCCGGCGCCACCUCCGACUGCUGGUACACCGCCGUUGCCGCUGCCGCCGCCGGCAUUGGACCAGAAGCGCGCGUAGCACUUGCCUAGGUACACCUCCCCGGCGGAGGCGUACCCGCAUCCGGCCUUGAGCUGCGAGGACGCGGCCGAGACGCAGUCGGUGCACGCCUUGGCGCCGAGGUCCCCGACGCACUGCGACAUGGCCUGCACGUACCCCGCCGCGCCGGCGCGGUAGGAGCCGUCGCCGGCGGGGGGCGCCGCGGCGGCCACGAGCGCGCCGAGCGCGGCGUCCCUCAUGGCCACGACGCCCGUGUCCCCGGCGCUCUCGCCGCCGCACUUCUUGAACAGCACCGUCGUGUCCUGCUUCCCCAGGAACGAGUCGUUCCCGUACCGCACGAAGCAGGCGCGCAGCUGCACCGCGGCGCCCGCCGCCGAGUUGCAGAGCGAGGAGACCUUGGAGACGGCGGACUUGACGCAGCCGCCGCAGACGGCGGCGGGGAGGUCGGAGCGGCACUGGUACACGCCGGCCAGGCCCGUGGCGGCCGACGGUGAGGUGUAGUUGGCGUAGGCGGUGUAGCCGGCGCUGUUGACGAGGGAGGACAGGGUGGUGUCCACGUCCGCCGCGUACUGCGACCCGGGGUCGUAGCGCGCCUGCGAGCACCCGGCGUACACGAACGCCGUGUAGUCGUCGCCGCCGCGCGCGGGCGUCGUGCACGCGGACAGCACGAGAAGCAAGAGCACGGGGAGCGGUGCUGGCGCAAGAAGCUUCGACAUGCUUGCUUGCUUGUUCUUGGCCUUGUGCUUGGUAACUUCUGCAGAGCUUCGGAAGACGAGGCUCAGAGGGACGAGAGGAAGAGGCAGCAAAUGACGACCUGUGAGCGUGGAGGGAUGGGCUGAAGGGUUUAUAAAUGGAGCUCAGUGUCAAUGGUGUCAUUUUUUUCAUCCACCGCUAAAGGGAAAGACUGGUUGGACCUUUGUUUUUGAUUAAUCGUUGUCCUAGUUUGUAGCGGGCCAAAAGAAGCGUUUCGGCUGCCGUCGAAUGUGGGCCGAAUUACGCAAGCCCAGACCAGUUUGGCCCAACAAGUUGCGGCCCAUAGUUAGCAGCCUUGUGUGUUUGAUAUCUACCGUUUCCAAGUUCGGCCGAAAAAAAGGAAUUGUGCUUUAAUUUGGUUUUUCUUAAAUUCACAGAAAAAGGUCCUUGUUUGCGAUGAGCAUCUCCUCUAUCUCCCACCACGCCAAGGCAUCCGGCUUGAUGUGAGAGUGCUUUUUGAAUGUCUUGUCGAAAUUUUCAGGGACAAACCUAAUUGAAAUGUUGGAACACGUACGCACAAGAGUAGCGAAUUUUUUUUUCUUACAUACGGUAGGUAGAAGUAUAGCAAAAUAAGACUGUAAUACUCUCCGUGACAGAAAGUGCUUUCACCGCUAACGAAUUGGAUGCUCCGGUUCCAGUUCCGAAGGGAAACAAAAAGGUAAUAAUUUGAUUAUAUAUAUUUUUUAAAUUGACAUCAUUAUUGGCGGCUAGAAGUUGAGGGAACGAGGCUCGUACGUGUGGCGGAUCCAGGUUGUGAAAGGAGGGAGGGCUCAUCUUCCUCAUCCUCCCUUAUCUCUUUCCCUUCUUCUUCUUCCUCCUUUUUCUUCUUUCUUCUCUUCAUCUAUAGCAAAAAUUUGCAGGGGAGCUCCUCCAGCUCCCACGUUAGAUUCGGCCCUGCGCGUAUGUAUACUGAUAACAUAUACGGAUCAGAGGUGAAAAAAAGGUGGCGUGUGGCACGUUGGCCGCCGAAGUGCUGUAACCAAAAGGAAGGGAAAAAAAGAAGGUUCUCGGUGGACUUGCGUACGUGCUGAUGGUAACUUGUUUUAUUUCAAGUAGAGCGAGUGCAACAAUGUUUCGCCCAAGGCGAUACCGAACUGGAAAACCAAAAUGGUUACAACCAGCGAUAUAUUCAUCACAUCGCUAGUUACUAGACCGCAGGCGGCGGCGGUUCACCGCGAUGCUAUAAGGAAUCGGUACCCAUAAUCUAAAAAGAAGGGGAUAAAUUAGAUAAACCUAAAACCUUAACCUAUGACUUCUACUAAUUUUGCAUAAAAUAUAAACUAGAGCAUAAAAAGGGAGGGGGUAAAUUAGACAAACCUAAAACCUUAACCUAUUACUUCCACUAAUUUUGCAUAAAACAUAAAUUAGAUCAUGCUAUCAAGAUGUGCAAUUAAGAUUGAUUUAGUGUGAAAUUCACAUCCCAAAACAAGUUUUGCAACCUAGAGCCAAUCCUAACAAGGUACUACACUAAAAAAGUAAAGGCACACAAGUUGCAAGUAUGAAAUGUGGAAACGAGAGAUUAGGAUGAGGGGAAGCAAACUCUUGAUACGAUAAUUUAUCUCGUGGUAUCGGUAAGCACUAAACCACCACUAGUCUACGUUGUUUAAGCACUCACACAAGACUAUUGCUUCCCGGUCACCAAGUCUCUUCCAAGGCACCCCUUGACUUGCCACAAAGGAUCGACCACUAAGGCUCACACCAAGUUUCCCGGUCACCUUGAUAUCGUCUCCAUUAACGAGCUUCUCCACGAAGGAAAGGGAUCUCCACGUCCUCCGCACACGGUCAUCGACGCCGCUCCACACCAAGCCGGAGGGUCGAAGACUUGCCGGCGAGCCACCAAGACUCCAAGGUGCCAGCACACCUUGUACAACUGUGAUUCACUCCUUGAACCGAUCAUAAGGUAGCCACACCUUGCACUAAUCACACUUCUAAGCUUGUGGUAAACCUUUGAUAAAUCACUUAGAUACUUUUGGUGGCUUGAAUGUGUUCUUGAUGAGUCUUGAUCUCCAAUGAAUUCCUGCACACUCCAUCAACUUCAAAUGGGUGAGUGGAGGGAGUAUAAAUAGCCAAGGCAUCACAGAGUCGUUGCUCCAACGACUAGUUAAAGUAUACCAUCGGAUGUUCCGAUGGUCUGUUUUGGCAUGCAUCAGAACAUCUAGUGCAACUAAGCCGUUGGCCUCCCCUUGCCCAAGUUUUUCACUGGCUCAUCCAAAAUUCAUCCGACGCUUCAUCCGAUGGUGCUCAUCCUGCUCAAGAGCUUCUGGCCAAAAUCUCCUUGGAACUUCACAAAAUAAAUAGGCUUCGUCUGACGGCUCCCCUUGGCUCACCAUCGGAUCAUCCGGUGCUAUAGGGUUUUAUUUCCUUUUAUUUCCUUCACCCCAUAAUUCGUCCGACGCUACUAGAAAACUUACCAUUGGAGCAUCCGGUGGUCUUGACUCUUUUUCCUAUCUUUCCAUUUUACCAAUUAAUCCGAUGGAUGCUCUGGCGCUUCUCAGAUAGGCCAUCGGAACAUCCGAUAGUGCCAUUUUUCUUUUAAGCGCCACAACUUGCACACCAAAAAUACUGUCACUGGAUUUUCUUUGUCAUUUGGAUGCUUGAAUACCAUAUAGAAUAAUCUUAGAUACCAUGACUUGAUCACAAAAAUACCAUAGCUUGGAUGCUUGAAUACCAUGACUUGAUUAUUAAGAAUACCAUGACUUGGAUGCUUGAAUAUCAUGAUUUGGACCUUGCCAUGAUUUGAUUUAUAUACUUGGGACCUAUAAAACCUACAAGGCAAAUUCUCGACAAGGCAUUAAUUCCAAUAACUAUGUUGUCACUUGAUCACCAAAAUCACAAACUAUGAUCUAAUGGGGUUAUCUUCACCAAAUAAAAUUGGUCAAACAAUUUCACUUAUCAAUCUCGAGAAAUCAAGUGUGAAAAGCGAAAACAACUAGAGAUAAGAUACUAUACAUUGCUGGCGCAGGAGAAAUGCCUUACCAUGUCCAAGGUUUAAGAAGGUCCCUAUUUACAAUGAGCAUCUUCUCUACCUCCAACCACGACAAGGUGUCCUCCUCACUGCGAGAGAACAUCUGAAAUAUCUUCUCGAACUUCUUGGGGACGAAACUGAAAAUGUUGGAGCACGAAAGUCGUAAAUCGAUCCAUUGUUUCUACAGUGUACACAAAUGCUGAGUGUAUAAGGUUAGACGACGCAGAACACACAGAUUUCAUUCUGAGAACAUCAAUAAUCAUUUGCAGUGAAGCAAUCAAGAA
This 4575-nucleotide long non-coding RNA is filed under the name Setaria italica (foxtail millet). RNAcentral's name for it is "long non-coding RNA (SITA_LNC002888)". Lineage: Eukaryota; Viridiplantae; Streptophyta; Magnoliopsida; Poales; Poaceae. The record is from RNAcentral.